GGGGAAUAUUCCGCAAUGGGCGAAAGCCUGACGGAGCGACGCCGCGUGGGUGAAGAAGUCUUUUGGGAUGUAAAGCCCUGUCAGAGGGGAAGAAAAAAUGACGGUACCCUCAGAGGAAGCAUCGGCUAACUACGUGCCAGCAGCCGCGGUAAUACGUAGGAUGCGAGCGUUGUUCGGAAUUACUGGGCGUAAAGAGUGCGUAGGCGGUUAUAUAAGCUUGAUAUUAAAGACUAAGGCUUAACUUUAGGAGUGUAUCAUGAACUGUAUGACUAGAGGCUAAUAGGGGAUGCUGGAAUUACCAGUGUAGCGGUGAAAUGCGUAGAUAUUGGUAAGAACACCUGUGGCGAAAGCGAGCAUCUGGGUUAGUACUGACGCUGAGACACGAAAGCGUGGGGAGCAAAC
This 402-nucleotide ribosomal RNA is filed under the name uncultured bacterium. RNAcentral's name for it is "bacterial SSU rRNA". It matches the Rfam family "Bacterial small subunit ribosomal RNA", at positions 356 to 773 of the family's 1533-position model. The record is from RNAcentral.